UGGGGAAUCUUGCACAAUGGGGGCAACCCUGAUGCAGCGACGCCGCGUGAGCGAUGAAGCCCUUCGGGGCGUAAAGCUCUUUCGACCGGAACGAUAAUGACGGUACCGGGAGAAGAAGCUGCGGCUAACUACGUGGCAGCAGCCGCGGUAAUACGUAGGCAGCAAGCGUUGUUCGGAGUUACUGGGCGUAAAGAGUGCGUAGGCGGUUUUCUAAGUUCGGUGUGAAAUCUCCCGGCUUAACUGGGAGGGUGCGCCGAAGACUGGGAAGCUGGAGUGUGGGAAAGGCAGGCGGAAUUCCUGGUGUAGCGGUGAAAUGCGUAGAUAUCAGGAGGAACACCGGCGGUGUAGACGGCUUGCUAGACCAUAACUGACGCUGAGGCACGAAAGCGUGGGUAGCAAACA
This 402-nucleotide ribosomal RNA is filed under the name uncultured bacterium. RNAcentral describes it as "bacterial SSU rRNA". It matches the Rfam family "Bacterial small subunit ribosomal RNA", at positions 355 to 774 of the family's 1533-position model. The record is from RNAcentral.